GACGGGUGAGUAACACGUAGGAAUCUGCCUAGUAGUGGGGGAUAACUUGGGGAAACUCAAGCUAAUACCGCAUACGCUCUACGGAGGAAAGCGGGGGAUCUUUGGACCUCGCGCUAUUAGAUGAGCCUGCGUCCGAUUAGCUAGUUGGUGGGGUAAAGGCCCAGCAAAGCGACGAUCGGUAGCUGGUCUGAGAGGACGAUCAGCCACUCUCCACACUGAGACACGAUCCAGACUCCUACGG
This 241-nucleotide ribosomal RNA is filed under the name uncultured bacterium. Its description in RNAcentral is "partial 16S ribosomal RNA". It matches the Rfam family "Bacterial small subunit ribosomal RNA", at positions 102 to 344 of the family's 1533-position model. The record is from RNAcentral.